This 382-nucleotide ribosomal RNA is filed under the name uncultured bacterium. RNAcentral's name for it is "bacterial SSU rRNA". It matches the Rfam family "Bacterial small subunit ribosomal RNA", at positions 335 to 704 of the family's 1533-position model. The record is from RNAcentral.
ACUCCUACGGGAGGCAGCAGUGGGGAAUGAUUGCGACAAUGGGGGAAACCCUGAUGCAGCCAUGCCGCGUGUGUGAAGAAGGCCUUCGGGUUGUAAAGCACUUUCAGUAGGGAGGAAGGUAGUGUAGUUAACACCUGCACUAUUUGACGUUACCUACAGAAGAAGCACCGGCUAACUCCGUGCCAGCAGCCGCGGUAAUACGGAGGGUGCGAGCGUUAAUCGGAAUUACUGGGCGUAAAGCGCAUGCAGGCGGCCUGUUAAGUCAGAUGUGAAAGCCCGGGGCUUAACCUCGGAAUUGCAUUUGAAACUGGCAGGCUAGAGUCUUGUAGAGGGGGGUAGAAUUUCAGGGUGUAGCGGUGAAAGUGCAGUAGAGAUCUGAAGG